Molecule: ribosomal RNA, 249 nt
Filed under: uncultured Verrucomicrobiaceae bacterium
Lineage: Bacteria; Pseudomonadati; Verrucomicrobiota; Verrucomicrobiia; Verrucomicrobiales; Verrucomicrobiaceae
Description: partial 16S ribosomal RNA
Rfam family: Bacterial small subunit ribosomal RNA
Source: RNAcentral
UCGAGAAUCAUUCACAAUGGGCGAAAGCCUGAUGGUGUGACGCCGCGUGGAGGAUGACGGUCUUCGGAUUGUAAACUCCUGUCAAGUGAGAGUAAGGCUUGGUGUUAACUGCAUCCAAGUUUGAGAGUAUCACUAGAGGAAGAGACGGCUAACUCUGUGCCAGCAGCCGCGGUAAUACAGAGGUCUCAAGCGUUGUUCGGAAUCACUGGGCGUAAAGGGUGCGUAGGCUGUGUUGUAAGUCAGAGGUGA